UUAUAUGAUGUGAUGGUGUCUGUUAAACUUUGGAGAACAGAGAAGACUCCAGUACAAACAACACACACCAUGUUCUCUACAUCUCUACUGCUCCUGCUGGCAGCUGCUUCUUAUGUACAUGGUGAGGAACUGACUCAGCCUGCUUCCAUGACAGUCCAGCCAGGCCAGAGUCUCUCCAUCCACUGCAAGGUUUCAUAUUCAGUUACAAGCUAUGCUACAGCUUGGAUCCGACAACCUGCAGGAAAAGCUCUGGAGUGGGUCUCACUUAUGGGUUAUAGUGGUAACACUUACUACAGUGAGAAACUGAAAAGCAGGUUUCAGGUUUCCAGAGACACGUCCAGCAACACAGUGACAUUAACAGGACAGAACAUGCAGACUGAAGACACAGCUGUGUAUUACUGCGCUCUCCCCUUCAAAUUUCAUAUGGAAACUCCGGCAGUCUUGGGCUCCUCCCCGUCUUUCAGCACGUUCUUCAAUCCGCAGACUGCGGCAUCACAGAGUGAGGAUCAGAGGACAAGCAAUGCCUCAUGUCUUCUGAAAGCCUAA
Molecule: non-coding RNA, 546 nt
Organism: Hemibagrus wyckioides
Lineage: Eukaryota; Metazoa; Chordata; Actinopteri; Siluriformes; Bagridae
Source: the annotation of a RefSeq genome assembly